AGUUUGACUGGGCGCCUGGGGAUUAGAACGCUGGCGGAUGCUUUACACAUGCAAGUCGAACGGCAGCACGGACUUCGGUCAGUGGCGAGUGGCGAACGGGUGAGUACCGUAUCGGAACGUGCCUUAGUAUGGGGAUAACUACGCUGGUGUUGCAGCUAAUACCGCAUGCCGCCCUUCGGGGGGGAGCGGGGACCUUCGGGCCUCGCACUAUUAGAGCGGCUGAUAUCGGACAGCUAGGUUGGUGGGGUAACGGUGGCUCACCAAGGACGAUCCGUAGCUGUUGGUUUCGAGAGGACGACCAGCCACACUGGGACCGAGACACGCCCAGACUCCUACGGAGGCAGCAGUGGGAAUUUUGACAAUGGGGAAAACCCGAUCCAGCCAUCCUGCGUGUGCGACGAAGGCCUUCAAGUUGUAAAGAUCUUUGGCAGGAAAGAAACGCACGGGGAUAUCACCCUGUAACUGACGGUACCUGUAAUAAGCACCGGCGAAUUAAUGUGCCAGCAGCCAAGGUAACAUGUAGGGUGCUGACGGAACACGGGCGUAAAGCGUGCGCAGGCGUUCGAAAGAAAGAUGUGGAACCAGAGCUUAACUUUGGAACCGCAUUUCUUUAACUACUGAGUUAGAGUGUGUCAGAGGAGGUGGAAUUUCGCGUGUAGCGGGUGAAAUGCGUAGAUAUGCGGAGGAACACCGAUGGCGAAGGCAGCCUCCUGGGAUAACACUGACGCCUGCGCAUCGAGCAGAGCAAACAGGAUUAGAUACCCUGGUAGUCCACGCCCUAAACGGUGUCAACUAGCUGUUGGGGCCUUCGGGCCUUGGUAGCGCAGCUAACGUUAUGCUGACCGCCUGGGGAGUACGGUCGCAAGAUUAAAACUCAGCGAAUUGACGGGGACUCCGCACAAGCGGAUGAUGUGGAUUAAUUCGAUGCAACGCGAAAAACCUUUACCUACCCUUGACAUUGCCUGGAAUCCGAAGAUUUGGGAGUGCUCGCAAGAGAACCGAACACACAGGCGCUGCAUGGCUGUCGUCAGCUCGUGUCGUGAGAUGUUGGGUUAAGUCCCGCAACGAGCGCAACCUUUGUUAGCAGCAUGAAAGGGCACUCUAAUGAGACUGCCGGUGACAAACCGGAGGAAGGUGGGGAUGACGUCAAGUCCCUACAUGGCCCUUUCUUAUGGGUAGGGCUUCAAUACGUCAUACAAUGGUCGGGACACAGAGGGUCACCAACCCGCGAGGGGGAGCUAAUCCCAGAAACCCGAUCGUAGUCCGGAUCGCAGUCUGCAACUCGACUGCGUGAAGUCGGAAUCGCUAGUAAUCGCGGAUCAGCAUGUCGCGGUGAAUACGUUCCCGGGUCUUGUACACACCGCCCGUCACACCAUGGGAGUGGGUUUUACCAGAAGUGAAGUUAGCUUAACCGUGGUGAGGGCGAUUACCACGGUAGGAUUCAUGACUGGGGUGAAGUCGUAACAAGGUAG
RNAcentral lists this ribosomal RNA (1472 nucleotides) under uncultured Bordetella sp. Its description in RNAcentral is "partial 16S-23S ribosomal RNA intergenic spacer". It matches the Rfam family "Bacterial small subunit ribosomal RNA". Lineage: Bacteria; Pseudomonadati; Pseudomonadota; Betaproteobacteria; Burkholderiales; Alcaligenaceae. The record is from RNAcentral.